RNAcentral lists this ribosomal RNA (440 nucleotides) under uncultured bacterium. Its description in RNAcentral is "partial 16S ribosomal RNA". It matches the Rfam family "Bacterial small subunit ribosomal RNA", at positions 338 to 795 of the family's 1533-position model. The record is from RNAcentral.
CCUACGGGAGGCAGCAGUGGGGAAUAUUGCACAAUGGGGGAAACCCUGAUGCAGCGACGCAGCGUGCGUGAAGAAGUCUUUCGGUAUGUUAAGCUCUAUCAGCAGGGAAGAAAAUGACGGUACCUGAUUUAGAAGCCCCGGCUAACUACGUGCCAGCAGCCGCGGUAAUACGUAGGGGGCCAGGGUUAUCCGGCUUUACUGGGUGUAAAGGGAGCGUAGACGGCAGCACAGGUCUGGAGUGAAAGGCCGGGGCUUAACCACGGAACUGCUUUGGCAACUGGGCAGCUAGAGUGCAGGAGAGGUAAGUGGAAUUCCUGGUGUAGCGGUGAAAUGCGUAGAUAUUAGGAGGAACACCAGUGGCGAAGGCGGCAUACGGGACUGUAACUGACGUUGAGGCUCGAAAGCGUGGGUAGCAAACAGGAUUAGAUACCCGGGUAGUC